CGAUAAAGUUUGAUCUUGGCUUGAUAAUUUGCUUAUCAAUGACUGAACAUGUAAAUAUUUGUUUGAUCUUUGUUUUUUCUUAAUGAAUGGAGGAUUUAUUUAUUCGCAGUUCUUUAUUUUAGUUAUUAUAUAUUUUUAGAUCUAGUUAUUUGACGUAGCUCCGACUAAUAUUGUGCCAGCAGUCGCGGUUAUACAAUAGGGGCAAGUAAAUCUUUUUGGUUUUAUAUUUAAAUUUAUUUUUUGUUUUUAAUUUUUAUAUUUUUGAGUGGAAUCGGAAUUUAAAUUAAAAUCGAUUUUUUGAUUAAAUAUGAAAGUUCAAAUUUAAACUAGGAUUAGAUACCCUAUUAUUGUGUUCUGUAAAUUAGAAAUCUUAGUAUUAAUAGUUAGGUUCUUUAAAUUAAAAGGAUUUGGCGGUAAUUUAGUCUUUUCAGAGGAACCUGUCCUGUAAUCGACAAUCCACGAUAAAUUUUACUUUAUUAAUUGCUUGUAUAUCUCUGUCAUUGGGUGUUUUAUCAGAAUAUUUUCUUUUAUUUUUAUAAAGUUAAUGUCAGGUCAAGGUGCAGCUGAUAAUAAAGAAGAGGUGGGUUACAUUAAAUAUAUUUAUGAAUAAGUAUAUGGAAAUAGCUUGGAAAUUGGAUUUGAUAGUAAUUUGUAUUAAAAUAUAAUUUUGACUUUAGCUCUAAAUUAUGCACACAUCGCCCGUCACUCUCAUUAAGGUGAGAAAAGUCGUAACAAAGUAGGUCUACCGGAAGGUGGGCCUGGUUAGUU
RNAcentral lists this non-coding RNA (768 nucleotides) under Canthesancus helluo. Lineage: Eukaryota; Metazoa; Arthropoda; Insecta; Hemiptera; Reduviidae. The record is from RNAcentral.